ACUAAUCUACUACCCCAGUAGAUUAUAUAUUACUAAUCUAAUAAUUUUAGUAACAUGAUUUAUUCAAAAUCAAAGUUUCUUAAUUGGUUGUCUGUUUACGUACCAUGUGACAGUGGAUCGAUACUUUACUCUUAAAAUGUACAGUGAAAUGAGCUUAUACUUUGUGUAGUAGUAUAUGAAGUACUAAGUAGAACUAUGAGGCAACUUCGAUGGAAUCCAGUCUCUAAAUUGGCAGAAUUUAUUUAAUUAAAGGGUCAAGUUUGGUCAUUGACUUAAAUUUAUUUAACUAUACGAAAACUUAGUAAUGUAUUACUCCAAAAAUAUACAGUAAAAGUAACGGAUAUUUGCUGUAGUAGAACAGGAGUUAUCAAAGGGCAAAGUUCAGCUACUGGUGUCAGUUGAACUUACUGAAUGAUACUUUAUGCAUUAUUUAAAAACUAUGCAGUAAAAUAAGUUGAUAUUUCCUGUGGUAGUAGUCUAUAAAGUACUAGUUAGUGAUGUCCCGAUUUGAGUAAUUUAUUCAAAUCCAAGAUUUAGAAAAGAGGCAAAUUGCCUCUUUAUAUUUUCCAUUAGUGAAUAUAUUUAGACAUUCACUGUAAAUUCUGUAAUUUCUUAAAUUUAAUUCAUUUCCUUGCAACAUUUAUCUUAAUAUCGCCCCAGAUGCUCCUAAAAGUGAGAGUCUCGGCUUUUCUCAGUGAUCGCAACAGUUACCGUAACUAUAGCACGAAUCGCGCACCUUGAAUAUAGCGACGGCUCAUUUGACCACGGAAAAGUAAACGGGGUUCAUUUGACCGUGGUGACACACCGGAGCAAACGGCAACUGUAGCUUGUUUGAUCCUUUCGGUAAUUAAUCUUACUGCAUCUAUUUAUGACAAUGAGUAGCACAUGUGUACAGCGAGCGGCGCUACAAUAAGUAUAGUGAAUUUUACUGUCUUGUUGUCUGCGUUAGAUUAAAGAUUAUGACACAAUAAAAAAGUGCUACCACUAGCAUCAUAAUGGCUCAGAGAACUUUCCUUUUACGAUGCAAACAAAUCGUUAAUAAGUGUACUCGACUUCUACAAGGGGACAGUCCACCAGAUGACGCAUUUCAAACAGUUCUAACAAGAAUGGAAACCCUUAAACGCUGUCUGGAGUGCUCAAGAGGGAGGUUGAUGGAUGCAACAGCAGUACAAGACAUGCUUGAAAACAUUGAGAAAUAUUCAGGAGGUCAAGGAAAUGCAACAGGGGGCUCAACAAGGUACUAACUGCAGACUGACAAGUGAAAUCUUGUUUUUCAGGCCUUUAUGAUUACAAAGACUAACUGCAUACUACAUGCUAAUUCAUUACCUAUUUGUUUAAUUAUGUGGGAAUUACACUCAUCAACACAUGGAGGUGUGUGUUUACGCAGAACUGUUAUGAAGGUGUCGUUAUGUAAGUUUUGCUUUGUUCAGCAGCUGUUCGGUUGCUUUAUCAAUAAUUGUUAAAACGUCUAUGCCUCUGCUCUAUAGGGGACUAAUGUUUUAGCUAGCUAGCUGCGCUAAUACAGCGUGACAGUACGGUCACUUAGAACUUUUCAGCGGACCUAAUUUAGUUCCCGUUAUCUUUGCCACCCUGUAUAUGAAGAAGUAAUUGCACUUUAGUGAGCAGAGCGAGGUAUAUGUUGAAACCUGUUACGCUCUGUUGCUGUUUAGUGUACUGUAAUAUGUAUUUUGAGACUUAAAACUAUUUCAGUAAUUUCAUGUCGUUUGUUUUAUUUCCACAGUGCUUAUAGACACAAGCUGUUACGGCGAUAAAGAGGCACGUCAUGGCUGGACUGUCAUGCGAGGUGGUGUCAGCAAAAGUAAAACUCACAAGUCAUAGAGUCAAUUGACUCUCUGCAUAUUCGUUGAACCGAGGGCUGCUUGAAGUGCUGUUUCUGUUGUAAUAGAGGUGAGGUCAGGAAAAUAACUUUUCUUAAAUAUGACAUAUAUAGAUGCUUCAGUCGAACAAGUCUGUCACAAACAAGUAAUUCCUUUUCCAAGAGAUGUGUUUUGAUCAUUUAUCAUUAUCAAACAUGUGAUCACAUGACUUUUACUGGCUAAUGAAUUAUGCCUUCUACAUUAAACAAUUACUGUCUUUUUGUCCUCUACAGAUUAACGUGCACAUGCAUCAUAGACCAGAAGCACAAGUGGCCAUUGGUUUUAAUGCUGUCAACUAGGGCUCAAGCAUGCAUUAAAGAGUCCAUUUACCUAAGAUGAUGUGGUUGUUAUUGCUCCUGAUACAAAGUUUUCUGUGUGUACACUUAAUGUCACUUUUCACAAAGACAAAUUCUGUAACAUCUGUUGUCUCUGUUUGAUUAUAGCAGGUAAUGUUUAUAUUAGUGUUUAGAAAGAUAAAAGAAGGUACAGUACUGGGUUGUAUAGCACCGACGCCUGUGUGGUCACGUGUAACACUUGACUGUAUUUCAAAUAGAUUUCAGUAUUCCCCAGUAAAUAAAAAAAACUCUACAAAUGUCCA
This 2475-nucleotide long non-coding RNA is filed under the name Betta splendens (Siamese fighting fish). Its description in RNAcentral is "lncRNA (ENSBSLG00000011892.1)". The record is from RNAcentral. Lineage: Eukaryota; Metazoa; Chordata; Actinopteri; Anabantiformes; Osphronemidae.